UACGGAGGGAGCUAGCGUUGUUCGGAUUCAUUGGGCGUAAAGGGUGCGUAGGCGGCGCGGUAAGUCGGGUGUGAAAUCUCGGGGCUUAACUCCGAAACUGCAUUCGAUACUGCCGUGCUUGAGGACUGGAGAGGAGACUGGAAUUUACGGUGUAGCGGUGAAAUGCGUAGAUAUCGUAAGGAAGACCAGUGGCGAAGGCGGGUCUCUGGACAGUUCCUGACGCUGAGGCACGAAGGCCAGGGGAGCAAACGGG
Molecule: ribosomal RNA, 253 nt
Filed under: uncultured bacterium
Lineage: Bacteria
Description: partial 16S ribosomal RNA
Rfam family: Bacterial small subunit ribosomal RNA
Source: RNAcentral